GGCCCUAUGGGUUGUAAACUGCUUUUAUAAGGGAAUAAAGUGAGAGUCGUGACACUUUUUGCAUGUACCUUAUGAAUAAGGACCGGCUAAUUCCGUGCCAGCAGCCGCGGUAAUACGGAAGGUCCGGGCGUUAUCCGGAUUUAUUGGGUUUAAAGGGAGCGUAGGCCGGAGAUUAAGCGUGUUGUGAAAUGUAGACGCUCAACGUCUGCAGUGCAGCGCGAACUGGUUUCCUUGAGUACGCACAAAGUGGGCGGAAUUCGUGGUGUAGCGGUGAAAUGCUUAGAUAUCACGAAGAACUCCGAUUGCGAAGGCAGCUCACUGGAGCGCAACUGACGCUGAAGCUCGAAAGUGCGGGUAUCGAACAGGAUUAGAUACCCUGGUAGUCCGCACGGUAAACGAUGGAUGCCCGCUGUUGGUCUGAAUAGGUCAGCGGCCAAGCGAAAGCAUUAAGCAUCCCACCUGGGGAGUACGCCGGCAACGGUGCAACUCAAAUGAAUUGACGG
This 503-nucleotide ribosomal RNA is filed under the name uncultured Bacteroidota bacterium. RNAcentral's name for it is "bacterial SSU rRNA". It matches the Rfam family "Bacterial small subunit ribosomal RNA", at positions 413 to 916 of the family's 1533-position model. Lineage: Bacteria; Pseudomonadati; Bacteroidota. The record is from RNAcentral.